CUAGCUAAGCCUCUCGACCCUCUCUCUCGAAGUCCUCUCUCAAUUAGAUUUGGAUUGUUGUCCUUCACCGUCCUCCUCCACCUAGGUUUGUCUGCAGUGCCCCUAAUACACUUUCUCUCUCCUCCAUCUCUCUCUGAAAAAUUAGGAUUAGGGUUUUUUGCUGAAUCCUCAAAUUGUGCUGAAGAGAUUGGCGGUGGUUCGGGUUCGGCGAACUAAAGACCAUCUCGCUUCAAUUUGCCAUCAACAUGUCAUCAGUCCAUCGUUUCCUUCUCUCUUUCACCGGUUAUUCUCUUAGCUGGGCCGAUUAAGGUUCAGACUCUCGAGGAAGCUCUCAUGUCAGGAAUCGUUUUGGGUUUGCAUUUCACCAAAGCUCUUCAGCGAUGGAGGACAUUGAAUGCCCCAGAUCCACUUUCUCUCUCCACCUCGCCUUCAAACUAGGGUCAAUUGAAGAGAUGCAGAAGACGAAGGUGUCCGAGAGCGGAGGCCAACAUGCUGUUCUGCGCUGACGAGGCAGCGCUGUGCUUCGAUGUCCUUAACCUCUACAUGAUGACAGUGAGGGAUGCUCUAAACUCUGCCUUCGAUGAGGAAAUGUAUGCCGAUCUGAAAGUGUUUUUGAUGGGUGAAGAGGUUGGGAAGUAUCAAUGUGCUUACAAGAUAACUGAGGACUUCUGGAUAAGUAUGGCCUUGAGAGGGUUCUCGAUACCUCAAUCAUAGAGAACAGGGGUCCUUUGGCAUUUCAAUUGGUCACGUUUUUGCAUCUGUUGUGAAGGGAAUUAUGGGAAUGUAGGUGAAGCAUGAAUGCACAAAAUUCAAAGAAUUUUGUCUAGCAGGAAAUGCUGAAGGAUGCUUCAGGGCUUUCCAGAGAGCGAAACAUGUGCAUGAGGCAUUAAAGAGGCAGUUUGAAACUCAUUUCUAGGUACCUCUAGACUCUUUCUUUCUUUCUGGGCAACUGUAUGCUGUGUUCGAUUAAUUAAGUAACUCUUGGGGCUAUUUUUCUUUCAUAUAUUUGUAGUUGAGAAGACAAGCUAGAAUGGCGAUUGCAUCAGGUGCCCAUAUAAUAGGGAGAAACUAGUUGAGAACCAUGUAUUUUGUCAAUCUCGUGAACUCCUAGCUACGUAAUAUAUGUUUUACUAUAGAGGGCAGCCUAUUCAAGUUUAGCUGCUGCAAUAUGCAGAUACUGAGUUUUGGUUAGCCAUAUAUAUAGAAGUAAUAUUGUUCGAAAAAUCUACUUAUCUGGGGCCUGUUGUUCUUUUUUCUACCUACUUAUUUAGAUACAGUAAUAUCGAGUCCAAAUUAACUUUGUUGUUGGUUAGUUUAGGCCAUGGCCUGUUUAAACUACAAUUUUGCAAAGGAGAGAUCAGAAUCAAAAUUUGAAGUAUCAUUACUUAUAGUGAUUGGGGGCAUUGGUAAUGAUGAUACACUUCAGUCUUUGUUGGUUUCAUUGCUGACCAUAGUUCUUGCUUCAUAUCUGGUUCUCUGUGUUCUCAUUUCUCCCUGUUAUAUGGGCACCAUAGUUCUUGCUUUAUAUGCUAGGAGUUGUUAUCUAGGUGAGUUGUGAUUGGAUAUGGACUCCCUUAUGUCAAUUAUGGUGUUCUAGUUUAGCUAAGGCACACUGGUUGGUUUUGUUGGCAAUCUUUUUCUGUUUGGUUGUAGCUGAAGAUCUCUGUAGGCACACUGGUACUCGUCUAUUCGAAGUGGUAAGAUUCCUUCCAGAGUAUGGGGGUGCAAUACCAAAGAAAUCAGAAGGGGGCACAUUUCAGGUUGAAUCAAAAGUAGUCUGUCGAGCUCCUAGUCAAUCAAGACAUCGGUUACAUACAGAUGAUGAAUCUGAUAUCCCAUCUUCACCAAUGCAAUAUCAUGACCAGUCUGAUAAUGUUGGUUCUACGCCAAGAAAUUCACCAGUUGGUCAUGACCAUACACUUCUGCAUAGAGAAAUACAUGAACAUGGUAAGCCAAGCAUGCACACCCUUGAGUGGGAAAAAAAUUUGGUUGCCGAGGAUGAUGACCUUCUGAGCUAUUUGGCUAUGAGGAUUCUGUUAAAGGUGGGAGCAACUGUGAAGCUUUGUGAAAAUGGAGGAGAAGCUCCAGAUGUAAUUCGCAUAGAUCUACUCAACUAAGGGAAACAUGAAUAUACUAAUGGACUGUCAGAUGCCAGAAAUGGAUGGAUUUGAGGCAACAAGGGAGAUAAGGAAAGUGGAGAAAACUCACCAUGUCCGCAUUCCGAUCAUUGCAUUAACAGCUCAUACACCAGGCGAGGAAACAAGAAGGAUGUUGGAGGCUGGCAUGGAUCACUAUUUGAGCAAACCCUUGGAAAAGGGUUGUCUACUUGAAACAAUGGGUAGACUGGUGGGGAAGUAGUAGAAUUGUUGGAAGCUGCAGUCAUGAUUGUCAGAGAACAAAGGAAGAGAAAAAAACAAACAGAGCUUUUCAUUGCCAUUGCUAUGUAUAAUGCACAGAUAGGCAGGAAAGGCAGGAGUUCAGUUCUGUGGAAGAAUUUAGCAGGUAUUCCUCCCCAACCUAGCUCUACGGAGUGUGGCUACUUCAUGAUGAGAUACAUGCGAGAUAUAAUUGAAGAUAAGGAUCUAUCGUUUGUUCACAAGUGGGAGAGGAGAAGCAACUACAUGUAUAGCCAAGAGGACAUUGAUGUAAUCCGGAAUGAGUGGGCAAAAUUUGUCGUCAAGUCAUAUAUGUAGGAGCCAUCAAGUAAUUGGUUGAAGGAGAGGGCAGUUUGUUCAGUUAUAUAUGUUGAUACAUAUAUUUACAUGCAGUAUAUGUGCAUGUUUUUGGAACUUACAUGUUGUAUCAGCUUUUGCUUUCUUUCAAUGUAAUUAGUUAGAAUGCCUUCUUUGGUUUUAUGGAAUGGAUGGAUAUAUGAAUGUUACCUCUUUUGGUAUAUUAGAUUGUUGAAUUAGAGUAUUUCAAUGCCUAAAUCUUAUAUAUUGUGCAUUA
Rosa rugosa (rugosa rose) is the source of this 2949-nucleotide long non-coding RNA. RefSeq lists it as uncharacterized. The transcript has 11 exons. NCBI's taxonomy places the organism in Eukaryota, Viridiplantae, Streptophyta, Magnoliopsida, Rosales, Rosaceae. The record is from RefSeq and is a predicted model, not a curated record.